Molecule: ribosomal RNA, 496 nt
Filed under: uncultured bacterium
Lineage: Bacteria
Description: partial 16S ribosomal RNA
Rfam family: Bacterial small subunit ribosomal RNA
Source: RNAcentral
AUGCACGCUGGCGGCGUGCCUAAUACCUGCCAGUCGAGCGCACAGACGAGGAGCUUGCUCCUCUGACGUUAGCGGCGGACGGGUUAGUAACACGUGGAUAACCUACCUAUAAGACUGGGAUAACUUCGGGAAACCGGAGCUAAUACCGGAUAAUAUAUUGAACCGCCUGGUUCAAUAGUGAAAGACGGUUUUGCUGUCACUUAUAGAUGGAUCCGCGCCGCAUUAGCUAGUUGGUAAGGUAACGGCUUACCAAGGCAACGAUGCGUAGCCGACCUGAGAGGGUGAUCGGCCACACUGGAACUGAGACACGGUCCAGACUCCUACGGGAGGCAGCAGUAGGGAAUCUUCCGCAAUGGGCGAAAGCCUGACGGAGCAACGCCGCGUGAGUGAUGAAGGUCUUCGGAUCGUAAAACUCUGUUAUUAGGGAAGAACAAAUGUGUAAGUAACUAUGCACGUCUUGACGGUACCUAAUCAGAAAGCCACGGCUAACUACGUG